Molecule: ribosomal RNA, 424 nt
Filed under: uncultured Paludibacter sp.
Lineage: Bacteria; Pseudomonadati; Bacteroidota; Bacteroidia; Bacteroidales; Paludibacteraceae
Description: bacterial SSU rRNA
Rfam family: Bacterial small subunit ribosomal RNA
Source: RNAcentral
UGAGGAAUAUUGGUCAAUGGGCGAGAGCCUGAACCAGCCAAGUCGCGUGAAGGAAGACUGUCCUAUGGAUUGUAAACUUCUUUUGUACGGGAAUAAAGUGGGCUACGUGUAGCCUUUUGUAUGUACCGUACGAAUAAGGAUCGGCUAACUCCGUGCCAGCAGCCGCGGUAAUACGGAGGAUCCGAGCGUUAUCCGGAUUUAUUGGGUUUAAAGGGUGCGUAGGUGGAUUGAUAAGUCAGUGGUGAAAGUUUGCAGCUUAACUGUAAAAUUGCCGUUGAAACUGUCGGUCUUGAGUGCAAAUGAGGUAGGCGGAAUGCGUCGUGUAGCGGUGAAAUGCUUAGAUAUGACGCAGAACUCCGAUUGCGAAGGCAGCUUACUGGGAUGCAACUGACACUGAGGCACGAAAGCGUGGGUAUCAAACAGG